GACGAACGCUGGCGGCGUGCUUAACACAUGCAAGUCGAGCGGUAAGGCCCUUUCGGGGUACGACGAGCGGCGAACGGGUGAGUAACACGUGGGUGACCUGCCCUUACGCUCUGGGAUAAGCCUGGGAAACUAGGGUCUAAUACCGGAUAUGACUCCAUGACGCAUGUUGUGGGGUGGAAAGCCUUGUGCGGCUAGGGAUGGGCCCGCGGCCUAUCAGCUUGUUGGUGGGGUGAUGGCCUACCAAGGCGACGACGGGUAGCCGGCCUGAGAGGGCGACCGGCCACACUGGGACUGAGACACGGCCCAGACUCCUACGGGAGGCAGCAGUGGGGAAUCUUGCGCAAUGGGCGAAAGCCUGACGCGGCGACGCCGCGUGGGGAUGACGGCCUCGG
RNAcentral lists this ribosomal RNA (392 nucleotides) under uncultured bacterium. RNAcentral's name for it is "bacterial SSU rRNA". It matches the Rfam family "Bacterial small subunit ribosomal RNA", at positions 28 to 420 of the family's 1533-position model. The record is from RNAcentral.